GAGGGUGUAGCUCAGUGGUAGAGUGCCUGCCUAGCAUGCACAAGGUCUCUGGGUUCAAUUCCCAGCACCUCCA
RNAcentral lists this transfer RNA (73 nucleotides) under Camelus bactrianus (Bactrian camel). It matches the Rfam family "tRNA". From Rfam's summary of the family: Transfer RNA (tRNA) molecules are approximately 80 nucleotides in length. Their secondary structure includes four short double-helical elements and three loops (D, anti-codon, and T loops). RNAcentral also lists the same sequence under 3 other names. Lineage: Eukaryota; Metazoa; Chordata; Mammalia; Artiodactyla; Camelidae. The record is from Rfam by way of RNAcentral.